Long non-coding RNA from Dendrobium catenatum, 679 nucleotides. RefSeq lists it as uncharacterized. The record is from RefSeq and is a predicted model, not a curated record. The transcript has 2 exons. Lineage: Eukaryota; Viridiplantae; Streptophyta; Magnoliopsida; Asparagales; Orchidaceae.
CAAUCAUUCGGCGGGCAAUCAUUAUUUGUUUAAGGAAUAUGUUCUUCAAAUGGCAUUUCACUGCUACUGUGAAUACUUGCAACUGAUGGCAAAUGCAGGGUAUGAGAAAUCCGAAAAGAGUGUAGCAGGAAGGUAUUUGAAGGUUUGUUAGGCUGAAGAGGAGAUGAUUGGAAGCUGAAAUCUCAAAGGAGCUUGAAAUUUCUCACAAAUGGCAGAAGUUCCUUCUAUUAUGGCGGCAUUAUAUUGCCAACCACAUCUUUUCUAAAUACUUGUCUCCAGGUGGACAACCAGGAUUCUUACAAUAUCGGACGUCAGCUUUCCAUUGGCGUCUGGUGAAAAGCAUAGGCAGCUGGGUCCGAGCCGGAAGUGAAGAUGAAACAUUCAGGGUAUAUCUAUUUAUCACUUAAUUUUAAUUUUAGAUUUUGUUUGGGAUGUCUUUAUUACUACUUACAACAGCUUUUAAAAGCUGCUUCUUAAAGCAGUAAAAAAGCCGUCCUAAACGAAACCUUAAUUGCCAGUGAAGCACUAUCUAGAUUGUAUUUUUGGCUCAAGUAUUAUUGAGAUUGUUGCAAUUCAAUGAGUUCUCAGCAUUUCAGUGCUUUGUAGGCUGCGUUUGAUAAUGCUGAUGAUUUAAAAAAAGUUCUUGAUAUACUUAAUAUAUGAGGGGAUUUGUCUGUGA